CGGUCGGGAGCCCCCUUUGGGACGGGGGCAGGAAUAGACCGAACAUCUCUGUUUCGUCAGGGCACUUCCACCGGCGCCCACCGGAGGCUGUG
Celeribacter baekdonensis B30 is the source of this 92-nucleotide regulatory RNA element. It matches the Rfam family "Rhodo-rpoB RNA". The record is from Rfam. NCBI's taxonomy places the organism in Bacteria, Pseudomonadati, Pseudomonadota, Alphaproteobacteria, Rhodobacterales, Roseobacteraceae.